UACGGAGGGGGCAAGCGUUGUUCGGAAUCACUGGGCGUAAAGCGCGUGUAGGCGGCCUCUUAAGUCUGGUGUGAAAGCCCGGGGCUUACCCCCGGAAGGGCACUGGAUACCGGGAGGCUAGAGUACCGGAGAGGAGGGUGGAAUUCCUGGUGUAGCGGUGAAAUGCGUAGAUAUCAGGGGGAACACCGGUGGCGAAGGCGGCCCUCUGGACGGCUACUGACGCUGAGACGCGAAAGCGUCGGGAGCAAACAGG
Molecule: ribosomal RNA, 253 nt
Filed under: uncultured bacterium
Lineage: Bacteria
Description: partial 16S ribosomal RNA
Rfam family: Bacterial small subunit ribosomal RNA
Source: RNAcentral